GGCCAUGUUGAAACACUAGUUCUCGUACAAUCACUGAAGUUAAGCAACAGUGAGCCUGGUCACUACCUAGAUGGGUGACAACUUGGGAAUACCAGAUGCUGUAAG
RNAcentral lists this ribosomal RNA (105 nucleotides) under Acanthosepion pharaonis. Lineage: Eukaryota; Metazoa; Mollusca; Cephalopoda; Sepiida; Sepiidae. The record is from RNAcentral.